Sorghum bicolor (sorghum) is the source of this 1925-nucleotide long non-coding RNA. RefSeq lists it as uncharacterized. The record is from RefSeq and is a predicted model, not a curated record. The transcript has 3 exons. Lineage: Eukaryota; Viridiplantae; Streptophyta; Magnoliopsida; Poales; Poaceae.
UGUUAGCCAAUGGCUGCCGGCCAAUUGCUUGAAUUAUUGUCAUACAUGUCCACACACUAGCAUCAGGCAUCUCCCCUUUCGCAAGUGUCACACACACGUACAGAGUAUUUGGUCCCUCGCACUAGCACCUUCUUGCUUUGCACCGGUUCGUCUAUCUCUGUGUGUGUGGUAUAUAAACUACACGAGUGCGCCCAAGUGCUCAUCACACAUAGAUAGAUUUGCGCCCAAGUUCUUCUAUACCGGCCUUUCUAGCAGAUCAUCGUUUUUACGCCAGCCAGUGUAUCUUCGCCAUCAACUCCGAGCAAGCCGGCAGCUAGCAUGGGACUGAGGCGCAGGCCCGACGAGAACAGAGAAAAGGACCGCGAGAAAAGUUCCACGGGCUUCGUUACGUUCUUGAUCGGGAUUGUGGCAGCAGGUGCUGCUCUAGUGGGAGCAGCCGCGUAUUACGGCGCCGAAGAGGAGGACAAGAAUCGUCAGAAAAUAAAAGACAGGAGGUACCGAUAGAGGAGAUCAUCGACGACGCUACGUAUACGUACACCGCUACACCCAUCCCGGCCACCAGCUUCUUUAACUUUCGUGUACCUAAGCCAUGCAUGUGCCAUAUAUGUAUCUAUAUAUCUCUUCGAUGUACAAUGUAAUAACAUGUAUAUUCACUUAGCUUAAUUAUGGGUAGCAGAGUUGAUGUACAUGUAACUCACAUAUAUAUAUAGCUAUGCGGUUUUUCUAAUACAUGUGUACAUUAAGAGGCUAUUUGGUUAGAUGAAUGAUCGAAAUAUAUAGUGAUUAUAUUAGUUGCGGUGAUUGAGAGCCGAUAAAGUUUUCAUGGGGAAUUUGGCCAACGGUAAUGCUGGGUCGCGGCGGGUAGUUUGGACGGCGGCUCCUUUUUUUUGCUUUUUGAAUUUCUUCGCCGUAAGCCACUUUGUCUCUUUUGAAUUCUUGUGCCGUAAACCGUAUCAUGCAUGGAACUCUUUUCUCUCGUUGUUGGGCUGAAACAGAUUACUUAUUGUUGGAACAAAUAUUUAUUUGAUCGUGUGCUAGAUCGUUUAGAGUGAAGGUGGAUAUUGUUGUAUGGUGACUCAAAUCGUUCUUAGACUACGAUCAAGAGAAGAGUGUUAUUAAGACUUCUCCUUCUGCAAACACAAGGUUUAUGAUGCGCAGGUGUGGAACUCAGAGGCAGUAGUCGAUAGCGAGGUGAAGGUCAAGUAUUGGGAUGUGCCAUGCAGAUGGACUAGAAGCGGUGAAGGACGGACGUGAGGCCUGGACCUAGGGACCAGGAGGUUGGGUGAGAACAGCCACAGUACAUGGGUGAUGAAGACGACAUCGACCAAGUCAAAGAGGAGGAGAUGGCAUCAUGGCACUUGGCAAAGGCCGAACACACAUCUAUAUGGGUGAUGUAGAUGGCGUCAGUCAAGUCGAGAAGGAAGGUGAAGGUAUCAAGCCUAGCCGAGGCCGGGCACACGUCGACAUCGGGGGCUUGGUGGUUUCGUCCAGAAAGCCAUCGAAGAGGUUUAGUGGUUUCGGCCUCAAAACCAUCGGAGGACAAUUUGCUGGUUUUGGCCUCAAAACCACCGGGUGGAUGUUUUUGGAUUUGGGCCUCAAAAUCUGGGUGCGGUUCUAGCGAGAAUUAGAGACGGCACGUGGCAGCAUCGCGCGGCUUGCAUCGAGGCGAAGCUAACGAUGAAAGGCAUGUGGCCGUCAGAUCAACAAAAAUUGGGUUGGACCAUAAUGCCCUUAGGCUAGGUGGUUCGUCCUAAAGAGGCACUAAUAGAAUUGUGUAAUAGGCCAAUAAAUAAGUUGGGGAUGCCUUCACUCAGUCCCACUGCUCCAGUUUUCAUUUCUUCAUUCUAGAUUUUCCCCUCCCCUAACUCCACCAUCUGUGUAAUCGAAUAUUUCUAAGUGGCAAGAGAGUCCAUAACCUCUCGGUA